This is a long non-coding RNA of Sorex araneus (European shrew), 283 nucleotides long. RefSeq lists it as uncharacterized. The record is from RefSeq and is a predicted model, not a curated record. NCBI's taxonomy places the organism in Eukaryota, Metazoa, Chordata, Mammalia, Eulipotyphla, Soricidae. The transcript has 3 exons.
CGGCAGCUCUGACAAGGAGUGAAGAGAAGCACCCCUUCCCCCAACGCCAGAGGACCUCUGAGAGCAGAGCCCCCCGGACACUUGCUCCAGCCAGAGGGCCUGAAGGCUUGAACAUAGUGAGAAGCAAAUUCCAAUGAACAGGAGGAUCACUUACUAUUCCUGCUGGCUGCCUGAACAACCUCUAGGCUGCUUGAAUAUACUUCAAGUGCACAUCUGGAUCUUGGCUGAAGUUCACAAUUGAGCCCAAGAAGUAGAAGAGGCCUAUGAAGAGAGACUGUUCCAU